RNAcentral lists this ribosomal RNA (454 nucleotides) under uncultured bacterium. Its description in RNAcentral is "partial 16S ribosomal RNA". It matches the Rfam family "Bacterial small subunit ribosomal RNA", at positions 28 to 507 of the family's 1533-position model. The record is from RNAcentral.
GAUGAACGCUGACAGAAUGCUUAACACAUGCAAGUCUACUUGAACUUCGGUUUGGGUGGCGGACGGGUGAGUAACGCGUAAAGAACUUGCCCCACAGAUAGGGACAACAUUUGGAAACGAAUGCUAAUACCUGAUAUUAUGAUUUUAGGGCAUCCUAGAAUUAUGAAAGCUAUAUGCACUGUGAGAGAGCUUUGCGUCCCAUUAGCUAGUUGGAGAGGUAACGGCUCACCAAGGCGAUGAUGGGUAGCCGGCCUGAGAGGGUGAUCGGCCACAAGGGGACUGAGACACGGCCCUUACUCCUACGGGAGGCAGCAGUGGGGAAUAUCGGACAAUGGACCAAGAGUCUGAUCCAGCAAUUCUGUGUGCACGAUGAAGUUUUUCGGAAUGUAAAGUGCUUUCAGUUGGGAAGAAAAAAAUGACGGUACCAACAGAAGAAGUGACGGCUAAAUACGUG